RNAcentral lists this ribosomal RNA (497 nucleotides) under uncultured bacterium. RNAcentral's name for it is "partial 16S ribosomal RNA". It matches the Rfam family "Bacterial small subunit ribosomal RNA", at positions 28 to 507 of the family's 1533-position model. The record is from RNAcentral.
GAUGAACGCUGGCGGCGUGCCUAAUACAUGCAAGUCGAGCGAACGGACGAGAAGCUUGCUUCUCUGAUGUUAGCGGCGGACGGGUGAGUAACACGUGGAUAACCUACCUAUAAGACUGAGAUAACUUCGGGAAACCGGAGCUAAUACCGGAUGAUAUUUUGAACCGCAUGGUUCAAAAGUGAAAGACGGUCUUGCUGUCACUUAUAGAUGGAUCCGCGCUGCAUUAGCUAGUUGGUAAGGUAACGGCUUACCAAGGCAACGAUGCAUAGCCGACCUGAGAGGGUGAUCGGCCACACUGGAUCUGAGACACGGUCCAGACUCCUACGGGAGGCAGCAGUAGGGAAUCUUCCGCAAUGGGCGAAAGCCUGACGGAGCAACGCCGCGUGAGUGAUGAAGGUCUUCGGAUCGUAAAACUCUGUUAUUAGGGAAGAACAUAUGUGUAAGUAACUGUGCACAUCUUGACGGUACCUAAUCAGAAAGCCACGGCUAACUACGUG